UGUCUACUCCACGCGCAAGCAAUAGGUUUACCCCCAAAAAAAGGAGGAAUACAACAACCCGCCGGACUCGCGGUGCGGCAGUGUGGAGACCUGUCGCAAUGUGGUGUCGUCAUCCAUAGACGACCACGAGAUGCAAGGCGCGGAGGCCCUUGGAUCGGAGUUCAUGCGUAUGGCA
RNAcentral lists this non-coding RNA (175 nucleotides) under human gut metagenome. Its description in RNAcentral is "malK-I RNA". It matches the Rfam family "malK-I RNA". RNAcentral also lists the same sequence under 1 other name. The record is from RNAcentral.